Long non-coding RNA from Bombyx mori (domestic silkworm), 1441 nucleotides. RefSeq lists it as uncharacterized. NCBI's taxonomy places the organism in Eukaryota, Metazoa, Arthropoda, Insecta, Lepidoptera, Bombycidae. The record is from RefSeq and is a predicted model, not a curated record. The transcript is spliced from 2 exons.
UGGCAACUGUCAAAGUGGCGCUGUUGUGCAUUGUUCCCAUAACAUUUAAUAUUUGUAUUGGCAUUUUUGAUUAAAAAUUAUUUCAAACACAAUGACGCGUUGUUUUAUGCCAAUAUGCUCAGAAAUUGGAGUACAUCAAUUCCCGAAGAACAAGAAAAUUGGAAGACUGCGGUUAAAGGUUAAUUGACGCGAAAAAAGUACUCCCACAAAAAGUUCGAGGUUAUGUCGGUAACACUUUGUGGAAUCUGACUAUGAAAACAUUAGUAAAUACACAGGUGUCAAACAUCAACAUAAAUAUCUGAAGAAAGGUGCUGUACCAUAUAUAUUGGAAUAUUUAACCAGUUUCUGAAGAAACAAAAAGUAGACAACAAAGGCUACAAACUCUUAACCUUAAAAAACAGCUUUUUAGCCUGUCCAACACUUCCCAAUACUGUGAAGAUAUACAUACUACCCCUUGAAGAACACAGCAAUGUGCAUUUUGAUUCAAAUGUCUCUCAAGAAAUUCUAAUAGAAAAUCAUAACUCUAGUAUAGAUGAAACGAUUACAAGGCAUCAUAUUACUAUUGGAACUCAAACACCCAAUAUAUUAAGAUUGUUCUCUACAGAGCUAUUACUUGCAGACGAUGAGACAGUGCAAUACUACACCGAGUUGGAAACAGCAUCUAAGUUUUCAUUACUUUUAAUCACACUUUUGCCUGUGGCAAAUGAUAUAAGAUAUCGCUGGAGUAGAGUGGUCGGCAUAUCAAUAGAAGAUCAAUUUUGAAUGUUACUAAUUAAGCUUAGAAGAAACACAACAGAUUUUGAAUUAAGUAAAAUUUUUGAUGUAAGUAAAACUGAAGUGUCUAAUAUUGUUGUGACAUGGAUAAAUUUUGUCAGUGAUAUCUGGAGCCUAAUUGACAUUUAGCCUCGCCGCAGCUAAGUAAAUUAUUAUAUGCAUAAUUGUUUUAGAACACAUUAUCCCUCCACAAGGCUCCAAAAGCCUCAUUUAGUUCUUAUAAACAUAAAAAUACGUUGAAAUUUUUGGUAGGAGCUUCACCAGGGGGAUUAUUAACAUAUGUUUCAAACGGCUAUGCUGGUUCUGCAAGUGAUCGACAGAUAGUAGAACAAAGUAAGCUGCUGCAGAUUUGUGAUUCUGGAGAUAGUAUUAUGGCAGACAGAGGUUUUAAUGUACAGGAUCUGUUUGCCCCUAAAGGAAUGAGUAUAAAUAUCCCAUCUUUUUUAAAAGAUAAAUCACAAAUCCCAGAUGUCCAGUUAAAGAUAGAUAUAAAAUUAGCUAGUCAGAGAGUUCACAUAAAACGACUAAUAGGGCUAACAAAAACUUAUUUAAUAUUAAAAAAUGAACUAAAUCAUUUUUAUGUACCUUUAGUAUCUAAAAUAUUUUUCAUGUGUGUAAUGUUAUGUAAUUUUAGAGAAGGAAUUGUUAAUAAAAACAAUUAAAAAUA